AAGGCGGGGCGCUCUAUCGCUGCCGGACCGUCAAAGGUCCGGGGGAGGAAAGUCCGGGCAGGACAGAGCACCGCACUGUGGAAAGCACAGGUAGGCGAAAGCUUACGUCACGGGUAACAGAAAACAACCGCCCCUCCCUCGGGAGAGGUAAGGGUGAAAAUGCAGGGUAAGAGCCUGCGUCCGUUCGAUGGCGACAUCAUCGGAGUAUCCGCCUGCGGCCUGCAAGGCCAAAUAUACCGGCAGUCAAGGGCUGCUCG
This 257-nucleotide RNase P RNA is filed under the name Candidatus Coprenecus avistercoris. Its description in RNAcentral is "partial RNase P RNA component class A". It matches the Rfam family "Bacterial RNase P class A", at positions 1 to 257 of the family's 367-position model. Rfam says of the family: Ribonuclease P (RNase P) is a ubiquitous endoribonuclease, found in archaea, bacteria and eukarya as well as chloroplasts and mitochondria. Its best characterised activity is the generation of mature 5'-ends of tRNAs by cleaving the 5'-leader elements of precursor-tRNAs. Cellular RNase Ps are ribonucleoproteins. The record is from RNAcentral. Lineage: Bacteria; Pseudomonadati; Bacteroidota; Bacteroidia; Bacteroidales; Rikenellaceae.